Molecule: ribosomal RNA, 1371 nt
Filed under: metagenome
Description: bacterial SSU rRNA
Rfam family: Bacterial small subunit ribosomal RNA
Source: RNAcentral
CUGAGUGGCGGACGGGUGAGUAACGCGUGGGUAACCUGCCUCAUACAGGGGGAUAACAGUUAGAAAUGACUGCUAAUACCGCAUAAGACCACAGCACCGCAUGGUGCAGGGGUAAAAACUCCGGUGGUAUGAGAUGGACCCGCGUCUGAUUAGGUAGUUGGUGGGGUAACGGCCUACCAAGCCGACGAUCAGUAGCCGACCUGAGAGGGUGACCGGCCACAUUGGGACUGAGACACGGCCCAAACUCCUACGGGAGGCAGCGGUGGGGAAUAUUGCACAAUGGGGGAAACCCUGAUGCAGCGACGCCGCGUGAGCGAUGAAGUAUUUCGGUAUGUAAAGCUCUAUCAGCAGGGAAGAAAAUGACGGUACCUGACUAAGAAGCACCGGCUAAAUACGUGCCAGCAGCCGCGGUAAUACGUAUGGUGCAAGCGUUAUCCGGAUUUACUGGGUGUAAAGGGAGCGUAGACGGAGUGGCAAGUCUGAUGUGAAAACCCGGGGCUCAACCCCGGGACUGCAUUAGAAACUGUCAAUCUGGAGUACCGGAGAGGUAAGCGGAAUUCCUAGUGUAGCGGUGAAAUGCGUAGAUAUUAGGAGGAACACCAGUGGCGAAGGCGGCUUACUGGACGGUAACUGACGUUGAGGCUCGAAAGCGUGGGGAGCAAACAGGAUUAGAUACCCUGGUAGUCCACGCCGUAAACGAUGACUACUAGGUGUCGGGCAGCAAAGCUGUUCGGUGCCGCAGCAAACGCAAUAAGUAGUCCACCUGGGGAGUACGUUCGCAAGAAUGAAACUCAAAGGAAUUGACGGGGACCCGCACAAGCAGUGGAGCAUGUGGUUUAAUUCGAAGCAACGCGAAGAACCUUACCUGCUCUUGACAUCUCCCUGACCGGCAAGUAAUGUUGCCUUUCCUUCGGGACGGGGAUGACAGGUGGUCAUGGUUGUCGUCAGCUCGUGUCGUGAGAUGUUGGGUUAAGUCCCGCAACGAGCCCAACCCCUAUCUUUAGUAGCCAGCGGUCAGGCCGGGCACUCUAGAGAGACUGCCAGGGAUAACCUGGAGGAAGGUGGGGAUGACGUCAAAUCAUCAUGCCCCUUAUGAGCAGGGCUACACACGUGCUACAAUGGCGUAAACAAAGGGAGGCAGAACCGCGAGGUCGAGCAAAUCCCAAAAAUAACGUCUCAGUUCGGAUUGUAGUCUGCAACUCGACUACAGGAAGCUGGAAUCGCUAGUAAUCGCGAAUCAGAAUGUCGCGGUGAAUACGUUCCCGGGUCUUGUACACACCGCCCGUUACACCAUGGGAGUCAGUAACGCCCGAAGUCAGUGACCCAACCGUAAGGAGGGAGCUGCCGAAGGUGGGACCGAUAACUGGGGUG